Molecule: ribosomal RNA, 450 nt
Filed under: uncultured bacterium
Lineage: Bacteria
Description: partial 16S ribosomal RNA
Rfam family: Bacterial small subunit ribosomal RNA
Source: RNAcentral
GUGGGGAAUAUUGGACAAUGGGCGAAAGCCUGAUCCAGCCAUGCCGCGUGUGUGAAGAAGGUCUUCGGAUUGUAAAGCACUUUAAGUUGGGAGGAAGGGCAGUAAGUUAAUACCUUGCUGUUUUGACGUUACCAACAGAAUAAGCACCGGCUAACUUCGUGCCAGCAGCCGCGGUAAUACGAAGGGUGCAAGCGUUAAUCGGAAUUACUGGGCGUAAAGCGCGCGUAGGUGGUUUUGUAAGUUGGAGGUGAAAUCCCCGGGCUCAACCUGGGAACUGCCUCCAAAACUGCAUGACUAGAGUACGGUAGAGGGUAGUGGAAUUUCCUGUGUAGCGGUGAAAUGCGUAGAUAUAGGAAGGAACACCAGCGGCGAAGGCGACUACCUGGACUGAUACUGACACUGAGGUGCGAAAGCGUGGGGAGCAAACAGGAUUAGAAACCCGGGUAGUCC